AUUGAACGCUGGCGGCAUGCUUUACACAUGCAAGUCGAACGGCAGCACGGGUGCUUGCACCUGGUGGCGAGUGGCGAACGGGUGAGUAAUGCAUCGGAACGUGCCCAUGAGUGGGGGAUAGCCCGGCGAAAGCCGGAUUAAUACCGCAUACGCCCUUAGGGGGAAAGCGGGGGAUCUUCGGACCUCGCGCUAUUGGAGCGGCCGAUGUCGGAUUAGCUAGUAGGUGAGGUAAAGGCUCACCUAGGCGACGAUCCGUAGCUGGUCUGAGAGGAUGAUCAGCCACACUGGGACUGAGACACGGCCCAGACUCCUACGGGAGGCAGCAGUGAGGAAUAUUGGUCAAUGGACGAAAGUCUGAACCAGCCAUGCCGCGUGCAGGAUGAAUGCCCUAUGGGUUGUAAACUGCUUUUAUAUAGGAAUAAACCCUUUACGUGUAAAGGGCUGAAGGUACUAUAAGAAUAAGGACCGGCUAACUCCGUGCCAGCAGCCG
This 490-nucleotide ribosomal RNA is filed under the name uncultured bacterium. RNAcentral's name for it is "bacterial SSU rRNA". It matches the Rfam family "Bacterial small subunit ribosomal RNA", at positions 30 to 517 of the family's 1533-position model. The record is from RNAcentral.